Molecule: ribosomal RNA, 104 nt
Filed under: uncultured bacterium
Lineage: Bacteria
Description: partial 16S ribosomal RNA
Source: RNAcentral
CGUUCCCGGGCCUUGUACACGACCGCCCGUCACAUCACGAAAGUGGAUUGUACUAGAAGUCUUAAUCAAACAAGCCCAAGGUAUGAUUCAUGAUUGGGGUGUAA